GUAGGGAAUAUUGCACAAUGGAGGAAACUCUGAUGCAGCGACGCCGCGUGAGUGAUGAAGGCCUUAGGGUUGUAAAGCUCUUUUGUCCGGGAAGAUAAUGACUGUACCGGAAGAAUAAGCCCCGGCUAACUUCGUGCCAGCAGCCGCGGUAAUACGAAGGGGGCUAGCGUUGUUCGGAAUCACUGGGCGUAAAGCGCACGUAGGCGGACCAUUAAGUCAGGGGUGAAAGCCUGGAGCUCAACUCCAGAACUGCCUUUGAUACUGAUGGUCUCGAGUAUGGAAGAGGUUGGUGGAACUGCGAGUGUAGAGGUGAAAUUCGUAGAUAUUCGCAAGAACACCGGUGGCGAAGGCGGCCAACUGGUCCAUUACUGACGCUGAGGUGCGAAAGCGUGGGGAGCAAACAGGAUUAGAAACCCCAGUAGUCC
RNAcentral lists this ribosomal RNA (425 nucleotides) under uncultured bacterium. RNAcentral's name for it is "partial 16S ribosomal RNA". It matches the Rfam family "Bacterial small subunit ribosomal RNA", at positions 354 to 796 of the family's 1533-position model. The record is from RNAcentral.